Molecule: ribosomal RNA, 262 nt
Filed under: Escherichia coli
Lineage: Bacteria; Pseudomonadati; Pseudomonadota; Gammaproteobacteria; Enterobacterales; Enterobacteriaceae
Description: partial 16S ribosomal RNA
Rfam family: Bacterial small subunit ribosomal RNA
Source: RNAcentral
AAAUUGAAGAGUUUGAUCAUGGCUCAGAUUGAACGCUGGCGGCAGGCCUAACACAUGCAAGUCGAACGGUAACAGGAAUCAGCUUGCUGAUUCGCUGACGAGUGGCGGACGGGUGAGUAAUGUCUGGGAAACUGCCUGAUGGAGGGGGAUAACUACUGGAAACGGUAGCUAAUACCGCAUAACGUCGCAAGACCAAAGAGGGGGACCUUCGGGCCUCUUGCCAUCGGAUGUGCCCAGAUGGGAUUAGCUAGUAGGUGGGGUA